GGGGAAUAUUGGACAAUGGGGGAAACCCUGAUCCAGCAAUGCCGCGUGAGUGAUGAAGGCCUUCGGGUUGUAAAGCUCUUUUGUCAGGGACGAUGAUGACGGUACCUGACGAAUAAGCUCCGGCUAACUUCGUGCCAGCAGCCGCGGUAAUACGAGGGGAGCUAGCGUUGUUCGGAAUUACUGGGCGUAAAGGGCGUGUAGGCGGUAUCAUAAGUCAGAUGUGAAAGCCCUAGGCUUAACCUAGGAGGUGCAUUUGAUACUGUGGAACUAGAGAUCGAGAGAGGAAAGUGGAAUUACGAGUGUAGAGGUGAAAUUCGUAGAUAUUCGUAAGAACACCAGUGGCGAAGGCGACUUUCUGGCUCGAUACUGACGCUAAGGCGCGAAAGCGUGGGGAGCAAAC
This 400-nucleotide ribosomal RNA is filed under the name uncultured bacterium. RNAcentral describes it as "bacterial SSU rRNA". It matches the Rfam family "Bacterial small subunit ribosomal RNA", at positions 356 to 773 of the family's 1533-position model. The record is from RNAcentral.